RNAcentral lists this ribosomal RNA (237 nucleotides) under uncultured bacterium. RNAcentral's name for it is "partial 16S ribosomal RNA". It matches the Rfam family "Bacterial small subunit ribosomal RNA", at positions 15 to 235 of the family's 1533-position model. The record is from RNAcentral.
GAUCCUGCUCAGGAUGAACGCUGGCGGCGUGCCUAACACAUGCAAGUCGAGCGAAGCGGUUUUGAGGAAGUUUUCGGAUGGAAUUAAAACUGACUGAGCGGCGGACGGGUGAGUAACGCGUGGGUAACCUGCCUCAUACAGGGGGAUAACAGUUAGAAAUGGCUGCUAAUACCGCAUAAGCACACAGCUUCGCAUGGAGCAGUGUGAAAAACUCUGGUGGUAUGAGAUGGACCCGCG